Molecule: small RNA, 258 nt
Filed under: Shouchella clausii KSM-K16
Lineage: Bacteria; Bacillati; Bacillota; Bacilli; Caryophanales; Bacillaceae
Also listed under: 1 other name
Description: Bacillus clausii KSM-K16 BsrG
Rfam family: BsrG
About the family: bsrE, bsrG and bsrH pair through intermolecular interactions with antisense sRNAs. SR4 interaction with the 3'UTR of bsrG RNA promotes bsrG degradation and inhibits its translation.
Source: Rfam by way of RNAcentral
GGCAAUUGAAUAAGGCUUUGGAGUGGUCGUUCGCCCCCUUGCAUGUUUUUGCUAACGAAAGGGGGUGAGGCCUUGACAGUAUUUGAAACGCUAGUUGUCACGUUUGCAGCAGCAAACCUACUCGUUGCCAUACUGUCGUAUAAGAAAGACAAAUAACCACUCCUAAGCCCGGGAAGCUAGAGUGGUUAUUGGAAUCACUUAGGCGAACGCCCCUUUAGGGCAUUCAAUUGCCGCUGGCCUCGGUGUUCGCGCACCAGG